RNAcentral lists this ribosomal RNA (252 nucleotides) under uncultured bacterium. Its description in RNAcentral is "partial 16S ribosomal RNA". It matches the Rfam family "Bacterial small subunit ribosomal RNA", at positions 524 to 776 of the family's 1533-position model. The record is from RNAcentral.
UACGUAGGUCCCGAGCGUUGUCCGGAUUUAUUGGGCGUAAAGCGAGCGCAGGUGGUUUAUUAAGUCUGGUGUAAAAGGCAGUGGCUCAACCAUUGUAUGCAUUGGAAACUGGUAGACUUGAGUGCAGGAGAGGAGAGUGGAACUCCAUGUGUAGCGGUGAAAUGCGUAGAUAUAUCGAAGAACACCAGUGGCGAAAGCGGCUCUCUGGUCUGUAACUGACGCUGAGGUUCGAAAGCGUGGGUAGCAAACAGG